GGCGGAGCCAAUCGAGCGCCGCGCUCUCGGCGGUCUCCAGGGUAACAGCGGCCCGGCCGGUGCUGGCGCCGGUACCGGGGCCGGGCCGCCCCGUUGUCCCCAGGUCCCACCGAUCCCGCCGCUGCUCCCCGGGCCCCCCAUGGCCUCUCGCGACAGAGAUGCCAUUUCCUGGUACCAGAAGAAGAUCGGGGCCUACGACCAGCAGAUAUGGGAGAAAUCCAUCGAGCAGACCGAGAUGAAGGGUCUUAAAACCAAGCCUAGGAAGAAGGGCCACAUCCAGCCGGACCUGAUCGACGUGGAUCUGAUCAGAGGCUCUACGUUUGCCAAAGCCAAGCCUGAAAUUCCCUGGACGUCGCUAACUCGGAAGGGAAUUGUGCGAGUUGUGUUUUUUCCGUUAUUCAGCCAGUGGUGGAUACAGGUUACCUCCCAGCGUAUCUUUAUGUGGCUCCUGGUGCUCUACGUUAUGCAAGUCGUAGCUGUUGUGUUGUAUUUCACCAUCCCCGUGGUGAACGCGAGUGAAGUCGUGGGACCCAUGUGCCUUAUGUUACUGAUGGGAACUGUUCACUGUCAAAUCGUGUCCACCCAGAUGAACAAACCUUCAGCAAACAACGGGCUCAGCAGGCGGAGGAGGAAGUUACGCAAAUCUGUGGGUGUCGAUGGGAACAGUUGGUCUUCUCCCGACAAAAAUAGUAAAGAAGAGCAGUCUGAAGCUGCGUCCCCUCUUAACAAUGUAUUUAGUGUGCUUUUCCGAAGGAGGAUUAGAAGAGUAAAGUUGGUAGCUGAGAAAGGGACGGAGACAGAAAGUGGAGUGAAUGGUGUGAAUAACGGCAUCAAGCACAGACAGGCCAGAUCUGAACACAGACCGUUGCACUUCAAAGAGAAAAAUAAGCUUUCUGAUGGGGAAAAGAGCCAUCAGGACGGCUGCACCAACAGAGGUGCCGUUUCUGACGAGCUUUCGAGCGAGGAGGAUGCUGAAGUCACAGCACAAAGGAUCUUGUUACGCCAGAAUGUAGAAGGGGCUUCCAGUGACAAUAGCUAUGAAGAGAAGAAAAAGCGGCCUCUCGUUUCCCUGAACUACGCCGUCCCACAGGUCAAGCAAGUCCUGAAAGGUGCCAGAGACUCCGACAGCGUCGUGGAAUCGGAACUGGAAUCCGUGUUAUACAGUCAGGACAUGAGGUCCUGCGUGAGCGUGGGAGGCCGGAGCAGCGCGGGGAGCCGGCGGGACUCGGAGAGCACCCGCCACGACUCGGAGACAGAGGACAUGCUGUGGGACGACCUGCUGCACGGCCCCGAGUGCCGCUCGUCCUGCACCAGCGACAGCGAGGACACGACGGUGCGAGGAACCAGGCGGGAUCUGAAGGAAGACGUUUUCCAGCAGAACCAUUUGCUUUGGCUGCAGAAUACAAGCCCAGCAUCUGCAAAAGUGAGUGCGCUGAUCUGGGAAGGGAACGACUGUAAGAAGGUGGACAUGUCCGUGCUGGAGAUCAGCGGGAUUAUCAUGAGCAGGGUUAAUGCCUACCAGCAAGGAGUGGGCUAUCAGAUGCUGGGGAACGUCAUCACCAUUGCAUUAGCGUUCCUGCCGUUCCUCUACAGGCUCUUCCGCGCUGACAACCUGGAGCAGCUGUGCUCCAUUUCCCUGAAGGAGCUUUUGCACAUCUUUUGUGGGGCGCCUGCCAGCACCGCCGUCGUCGUUUUGUCUGUCAUCAACUUCCUUGAAAGACUUUGCUUAACCUGGAUGUUUUUCUUCAUGAUGUGUGUUGCUGAGAGAACGUACAAACAGAGGUUUUUGUUUGCCAAGCUUUUUAGUCACAUUACAUCUGCUCGGAAAGCCAGGAAAUACGAAAUUCCUCACUUCAGGCUGAAGAAAGUAGAAAACAUUAAGAUCUGGUUAUCCCUUCGUUCCUAUCUAAAGCGCCGAGGCCCCCAGCGAUCUGUGGAUGUUGUCGUAUCAUCCAUCUUUUUACUGGCUCUUUCAAUUGCUUUUAUAUGCUGCGCCCAGGUACUUAAGGGUCACAAAACAUUCCUGAGCGCAGCUCACAACUGGGAGUUCCUCAUCUGGGAGGCGGCGCUGCUUCUCUUUUUACUGCGUCUGGCAUCUUUGGGCUCUGAGACCAACAAGAAGUACAGUAACAUUUCCAUCUUGCUCACCGAGCAGAUCAACUUAUACCUGAAGAUGGAGAAGAAGCCGAACAAGAAAGAGCAGCUCUCUCUAGUGAACAAUGUUUUGAAACUGUCCACAAAGCUCCUGAAGGUAAAAGCUGCUCUGGGUAAAAACACACAGGUGCUGCAUUUUGGGUGAGCACUCAGGACAGCUGUGGUUUUGCUCUCCCCACUGGAUUGUCUGUCAGUGAGGAAUUAGACACUCCCUUCAGGCUGUACGGACUGACCAUGAAUCCGUUAAUCUACAAUAUCACACGUGUUGUAAUACUCUCCGCUGUCUCAGGCGUUGUAAGUGAUCUUCUAGGAUUCAACAUCAGACUCUGGAAAAUCAAACCGUGACCUGACCAAGGACAGACCAGAGAAGAGAACCGACACCUUGGGCAAAAAGCAGAGGUGCUCUCAAACUACGGAAAUCUGUAUUUAUGAUUUUUUUUUAAACAGAUUUCUCAGUGUAUGUUGCAGCAGUUCUCCCUCUGCUUUACUGUUCUACGACAAACGGGUUAAACUGGUCAAUGGGUGAAGUCAGGCCCUGGCACGGCCAUAAGGAAUUAACAGAAUUAACGGGGCCGAGUGCUGGUGGCCGCACUGGAACUGGCUGAACUGUGUGUGCUGGGGCAUCACCCACGAGAACCUGCGGGAGAGCGGCCUCAGUUCUGUAAAAUCAGAGCCCUGUGCGUGCAGGGAGUGAAGGGUCAGCCCCCCCGUGUCACCCAGAGCCCGGAGAGACACCGAAACGUUCCCAUUGAGCAUCCGUCAGCGCUCUGCUCCGACCGACACCGCGCGCCUGCGUUUAUCUGGAUGGGGGAGAGGAUUUUCUUUCCCUAAAGGCUCCGUGUGCUUGAGGCUCCGUCUCUUUGCCCCGAACUGCUGGAGCCCGCAGUGGAACUUGCUCUGCACAAGGUCAAUUCCGCCUCCGCGUGGCCAGUUAAGCAACACAAGAUUCCUGCUGGUUCGUUACGUUGGGUCUUCUGCAAGUAAAAACAUCAGCUACAUGAGAACAACCUUCCAGGUGAAGCGUUUAGCAACUCGGGACUGUUUUGCUCUGUUUGUGACACCUCAGGUGAGUGUUUAGAAGGGGCGUUGGAGAGAAGCAAAAUGCUUUCCAGACAUCUCUUAAUCCUCCUGAACUGACUCUACUGUCUUCUCUUUAUGAGUAAUGAAAAAGGCAAAAAGCUGAGGAACUUUUCAGAGCUUCAUUGGUUCACAGAAGGGGGAAGACGAUGGCAGAAGGAUUUUUUGGUAGUCAGUUGUUUACAGCUAUUUUCUGUACACGGAAAAGUUGUAAGAUGUAAAAGGAGAUGACAGUUUUAUAGAUCCAAAUGUACAAAUAAACCUACAGUACAAGUAUUUCAUCAUUA
Columba livia (rock pigeon) is the source of this 3518-nucleotide RNA transcript. It is a transcript of the gene named putative homeodomain transcription factor 1, with no coding region annotated. The transcript has 18 exons. The record is from RefSeq and is a predicted model, not a curated record. Lineage: Eukaryota; Metazoa; Chordata; Aves; Columbiformes; Columbidae.